RNAcentral lists this transfer RNA (74 nucleotides) under Amycolatopsis cihanbeyliensis. It matches the Rfam family "tRNA". Rfam says of the family: Transfer RNA (tRNA) molecules are approximately 80 nucleotides in length. Lineage: Bacteria; Bacillati; Actinomycetota; Actinomycetes; Pseudonocardiales; Pseudonocardiaceae. The record is from Rfam by way of RNAcentral.
GCCCCCGUAGCCCAACCGGCAGAGGCAGUCGACUUAAAAUCGACACAGUGCGGGUUCGAGUCCCGUCGGGGGUA